AGAGUUUGAUCCUGGCUCAGAACGAACGCUGGCGGCGUGCCUGAGACAUGCAAGUCGUGGGAGAAAGUCGGAGCAAUCCGGCUAGUAAACCGGCGCACGGGUGAGUAACACGUGGGUAACCUGCCUUGGAGACCGGGAUAACCCGUCGAAAGACGGGCUAAUACCGGAUAAGACCCCGGAUAGUUCGCUAUCUGAGGUAA
RNAcentral lists this ribosomal RNA (200 nucleotides) under uncultured bacterium. RNAcentral describes it as "partial 16S ribosomal RNA". It matches the Rfam family "Bacterial small subunit ribosomal RNA", at positions 8 to 203 of the family's 1533-position model. The record is from RNAcentral.